RNAcentral lists this ribosomal RNA (542 nucleotides) under uncultured bacterium. Its description in RNAcentral is "partial 16S ribosomal RNA". It matches the Rfam family "Bacterial small subunit ribosomal RNA", at positions 355 to 889 of the family's 1533-position model. The record is from RNAcentral.
UGGGGAAUUUUGGACAAUGGGCGCAAGCCUGAUCCAGCAAUGCCGCGUGAGUGAAGAAGGCCUUCGGGUUGUAAAGCUCUUUUGUCAGGGAAGAAACGGCUUGGGCUAAUAUCCUGGGCUAAUGACGGUACCUGAAGAAUAAGCACCGGCUAACUACGUGCCAGCAGCCGCGGUAAUACGUAGGGUGCAAGCGUUAAUCGGAAUUACUGGGCGUAAAGCGUGCGCAGGCGGUUUUGUAAGUCUGACGUGAAAUCCCCGGGCUCAACCUGGGAAUUGCGUUGGAGACUGCAAGGCUGGAGUCUGGCAGAGGGGGGUAGAAUUCCACGUGUAGCAGUGAAAUGCGUAGAGAUGUGGAGGUACACCGAUGGCGAAGGCAGCCCCCCUGGGUCAAGACUGACGCUCAUGCACGAAAGCGUGGGGAGCAAACAGGAUUAGAUACCCUGGUAGUCCACGCCCUAAACGAUGUCUACUAGUUGUCGGGUUUUAAUUAACUUGGUAACGCAGCUAACGCGUGAAGUAGACCGCCUGGGGAGUACGGUCGC